This 1803-nucleotide long non-coding RNA is filed under the name Pandoravirus salinus. RNAcentral's name for it is "putative ncRNA". The record is from RNAcentral.
AAACGGUCUGGCGCUGGCGCCGGUUCGGCACGCAGCGCCAGACAGGAAACAAAAGGUUCACAGCAACAUCACGGCGCAGCGACCAAAGGGGACCUUCGCGUCGGUCGGUCCCCAUGCGGUCGUGCGCUCCCCCAACAAAAAUUACCCAUACACCGAAAAACACGGAAAAAAAGAAAGAAAAAAGAAAAUGCAUUGAUGGUUCAAUGGGGCGGAUGGCGGCCGAUGAUGGGCGUUAGGCCCGCGGCCAUGCGCUCGAUGCACUGCGGGCAGUCGGGCGGCGGAAGGGCCAGCGGUGCCGCGGGAAUGACCCCAAGGGCCGGAACGAGGGCGUCGCCGACAAACACAUUCAUCAGGUAGACGCCCGUACCGGGAAAGGCCGUGCCAAUGUCGGCGCCGCCGCCGGGCUCUGCCGCCGCAGCGGUGGCCUCGUCCCGCGCGGCCACACGCUCACGAACGGACCGAUCGGCCUCCUCCACCUGCGCAAGCGUGGCGCCACCGACAGAGGCGUCGGCGCGCACCCGCCUCUGGCGGCGCACGGCGGCGUCUACGGCGAGUUCGAGGCCGCGCAGUUCGGCAUCGGCGAUGGCGUCAGACACGGCGGCGAUCACCGCGUCGGUGCCGCCGGGCACACUGGCAAAGGCCUGGUCGUUGGCGACACUCUCGGGCGUCCAGCGAUCGAUGGGCGCGUUCAUGACCGGUAUGGGCGAGACACGGGCGGGUGCCGGUGCCGACGCGCCCAGCGGAACGACGUCGACGACGCGCGGCGUGCCCAACAAACCGCGUAGACGCAACUGGAGGCUGUUUUCGGGCGCGUCGGCCAUUGUAAUGGCGCUGGGCUCUGCCGGUGUGUCGGCGACAGCGCCGCGGUCCUGGGCCUCGGCGAGCCACUCGUCAUAGGCCACGCUCAGACCGUAGAGGGCGCGUCGACGGCGCUCGGCCUGCUGGCGACGCCACAGCAGCAACUGCGCCAGCGUGUCGUCGAGGGCUUCGGGGCCAAAAAAGGGCUCGGCCGCCGGGUCAAAGUCGGUGACGUAGGCCUCGACCCAGCCGAGACCGGGCGUGUCGCACAUCUGCCGGCGGCCGGGCGACGAUGCGCAAUACUGUUCGAGCAGGUCAAACUGGCCGGCGCCAAAGAGAGCCUGGGCCUCGUGCCAGCGCGCCCACACGAUGGCCUCUUGCGGCGACAGGGUGCGCGGCGACGCGCCCGGCUCGACCGGCCCGACAAAGAGGUCGGCGGCCUCGGGAAAGACGACGGCGAGCGCCGGCCACGCGAUCCCGCACAGGCCGGGGGCCGACGCACAGAGACGCUCUGCGCGAUCAAUGGCAUCCUCGGUGCCCUCGGCCAGCGUCUGCGCAAAGACGCGCACGAAUUGGAGCGCGGCCUGCUGUUGGCGUUGUCGCUGUUCUUGGGCCGAGGCCACAGGCGCCUGUGCGGUUUGCAUCGUGUUGUCUGCAACGAUCACUGGCCGCACGGGUCGGUUUCAGUCGCGCCUGUGUGUAGGUGUGUUGCUUGCGCGCGCGUGGGUCAAAGGAGGCGCGCCGGUUUGCUUGCUCGGUCUUUUUUUUCCCCAUGAGCGCCGUGCCUUUUCGCCGUUGGGUGGGGCGGCCGACCUUGCGCGCACGCACGCGACGCCGAGCCCGUCGUCGUCGGGCAAUCACACAGCGCCCCCGUAACACUGCUUUUUUCCUUUUCUUUUUUUUUUGCUGGCGCUUUUGGUGUCGGCGCCGGCUCCUCACACGAGCACGCACCUUUUUUUUUCUCUGAGCAACAGCAACUCGGACCAAAAAAGACGUCAAACCACC